CGUACACUCCUGCGGGAGGCAGCAGUGGGGAAUAUUGGACAAUGGGCGCAAGCCUGAUCCAGCCAUGCCGCGUGAGUGAUGAAGGCCCUAGGGUUGUAAAGCUCUUUCACCGGUGAAGAUAAUGACGGUAACCGGAGAAGAAGCCCCGGCUAACUUCGUGCCAGCAGCCGCGGUAAUACGAAGGGGGCUAGCGUUGUUCGGAUUUACUGGGCGUAAAGCGCACGUAGGCGGACUAUUAAGUCAGGGGUGAAAUCCCGGGGCUCAACCCCGGAACUGCCUUUGAUACUGGUAGUCUUGAGUUCGAGAGAGGUGAGUGGAAUUCCGAGUGUAGAGGUGAAAUUCGUAGAUAUUCGGAGGAACACCAGUGGCGAAGGCGGCUCACUGGCUCGAUACUGACGCUGAGGUGCGAAAGCGUGGGGAGCAAACAGGAUUAGAAACCCUGGUAGUCCCAUGAU
This 455-nucleotide ribosomal RNA is filed under the name uncultured organism. RNAcentral describes it as "partial 16S ribosomal RNA". It matches the Rfam family "Bacterial small subunit ribosomal RNA", at positions 330 to 801 of the family's 1533-position model. The record is from RNAcentral.